This 250-nucleotide ribosomal RNA is filed under the name uncultured Methylobacterium sp. Its description in RNAcentral is "partial 16S ribosomal RNA". It matches the Rfam family "Bacterial small subunit ribosomal RNA", at positions 524 to 773 of the family's 1533-position model. Lineage: Bacteria; Pseudomonadati; Pseudomonadota; Alphaproteobacteria; Hyphomicrobiales; Methylobacteriaceae. The record is from RNAcentral.
UACGGAGGAUGCGAGCGUUGCUCGGAAUCACUGGGCGUAAAGGGCGCGUAGGCGGCUUUUUAAGUCGGGGGUGAAAGCCUGUGGCUCAACCACAGAAUUGCCUUCGAUACUGGAAAGCUUGAGACCGGAAGAGGACAGCGGAACUGCGAGUGUAGAGGUGAAAUUCGUAGAUAUUCGCAAGAACACCAGUGGCGAAGGCGGCUGUCUGGUCCGGUUCUGACGCUGAGGCGCGAAAGCGUGGGGAGCAAAC